AGACAGGGAUCACUGUCCCAGAUAACAAAGGUGGUUCGACACAGACCAGAAGUCUGCGUUGUUCAUUAUGUGUCCUCUUCUCUUGCUUCCGUGAUGGCAUGUCAUUGACACUUGACGGAGCGACCGGCACGUCACUCCUCUUAGGACAUGAUAGGAAACAGAAAAAAAAAAAAAAAUUAAUACAAAGCCACACGACAAAGAAAAUUUAUCAAAAUACCAGUUGACCACUUACCUUGUCAUCUUGUCCAAACUGGUCCACUCCGGAUUUUCCCGAUUUCUCACCACGAUUUCUCACAAUGGUGAGGGUCUUGGUCCCUCAUCAGUCACUGCUGCAACCUCCAACCAAUACUUCAAGAACACAGCAGACUGUGACAUCAGGUGACACUUGAUAUACCGUGGACUCGAGGAUCGCAGAGGGUGCCGAUGCCGAACCACCUGCGGCGCUCCUUACCAUGAGCCGCUCUGAGCCCAGCGGCCACCAUCACAACGAUGCUCAACCAGCCAACAACAGUCUGAGGUGGACGAAAUACGGCUGUUCCAGGAAGCAACACAAAGAACCCUUUCCAUAUCUUCUACACCAGGCAGGUCUUAGGAAAAAGUUCUCUGCCCUCCCUGUACGCACAUUUCUACGGAACGUUACUUUACCUUCUUCUAAGGAUCACAGUAGGAAGAGGACAAUGUUACUCGUUCUUAUCUUCUUAACCUUGAUGAACGUAGGCCAGGCACUUUUCCUGGCCUUCCUAUGGUUUAAUCAAUGAGGAACACGCAUAUGUACUUAAUGGCGUGUUUUCCAUGAAAUUCCUCACUGCGAAAAUGUUGUUUUACUAUACUUCCUUCAUAAUGAUAUUUCAUAUGGCAUUUUAUUUCAAAGUGUGUGUGUGUGGGUGGGUGAGUGGUUGGGUGUGUGUGUGUGUUGUUCUUCACCUUUUGCAAUAAAAUAUAUCAUAUAA
Portunus trituberculatus (swimming crab) is the source of this 950-nucleotide long non-coding RNA. RefSeq lists it as uncharacterized. The record is from RefSeq and is a predicted model, not a curated record. The transcript is spliced from 2 exons. NCBI's taxonomy places the organism in Eukaryota, Metazoa, Arthropoda, Malacostraca, Decapoda, Portunidae.